CAUCCUCGUUCCCAGGGCUUCUCGGCUGCCUGCGUUGCCGUAAGCCCUGGGACAAGCCAAACCGGAACACCACAAAUUCUGGUGUUUUCCGGAAGUAAACGCGUUCUGCUGCAAGCUAAAAAUGCUGACUAUGCACUAAUUCUUACUGAGGAGUGGAGACGUGUUGGUGAGCAGAAAUUAUUGGAUUUUUCUUUUGUUUCGAUGUAUUUUCCACCAUCAAGAGAAUAUGUGCAGACCACCUAAUGGAAUUAUACAUAUUGGGGUUUUAUAUUUCGUUAUAUCGUUAAUAUUCGUCAAAAUGCAACCAUAUUUCGGUUUCGUAUUACAUGUAUCAAUUUUCAUGUAUAAUGUAAACAUGAUCGAGUCGAAAUGUGCUCGAAGUGGCCGCUGUGAUUCGAAACAUCAUGGGUUGAACCCAUUGGGUUCUUGUACAGAUGACCUGUUUCAACACGCACUUGUAAAGUCACUUCAAAGACCGGACAAAGCCGGACUGGAAAUUAAAGAGAAGUAAUUCGAAGCUUUAUCGUCCAUCGUAUGUUGUAUAUUAAAAGGAACAAGAACGACAUGUGACAUGUGAGUCUGUUUACUGGGUUACAACAACGACAAUAACAAUGAAUCACCUAACAUUUCAAGAAAAUAUAAAUUAUAGAUAGAUGUCAUGUAUGACGCCAUGAGUUUUGGAUUUGAAUUGCUAGAAUUAAAUCUAUGUUAUGUAUACAAAAUCAUGCGUGCGUAAAUUUGAGCAAAAAAGCACAAGGUGUUUGUUUGGCCAUAUGCCCAUCAUGUAGUAUGAAUAUUGAACACCGUUUUACUGUAUAUAGCACGUUUAAAACGUUAUUUCCAUGCAGGAUAAUCCUGAAUCCUUCACCGAUUACAUGCCAUGGCAAAUGAAGAAAAAUAAUUAUGUAAAAUAAUUAACCUAAUAUGUCUUUGGCCAUGAAUGCAACUCACUAUGCUGCUUCAUGAUACAUCUGACAGUCAAAAACUAUGUGCAUGACUGUAUGGCUCAAUGUAUGUUAAUUGUUUCAGGGAAAUUUUUGUUUUCAGAUUAAAGUAUAACAAUAUUUUCUGCAUUCCAAUAUAUUUUAAUCUACAUGCAAGUGCACCUUCUGUUUCAGAUAGGGGCCAAAUCAUUUGAGGCCGAAUGGGAUAGCCAAUGACUGGAGGGUAAUGUUAGCAAAUUUGACUCCCAUACAUAAUGUCAAGUUAUCACUGGUCAAUUUUUAAAUUUCUUACAAUUUCACAUCGGGGAGUUCAUUGCCCCCUCAUUAUCCAGAAGUGUGACUAAGUGUUUUCUAAUAUCUAUCCAGGGGUCCAAUCUAAAUCUCCACCACAACAGGAUGUAUACCUGAGUGAUGGUAAGGGAGGUGGGGUUAACAUUCUGAUUUAUCAAUAGAUUACUACACAUUUCCACAUUAAAAAUAUGAAACGUUUUCCAGUUCAAUAGACUGUAUCUAUAGCAGGAGGCUUAAACCAGAAUUUUAGAAUACAAAGCAACUUUUAUGUCAUUUUUGUAAUGGUUUAAAAUCAAUUUUUAUACAGACAUGGUAGGGUGUCUCCUGGCUAGAAGCCUGCAUAUACAUAUACAAAUUUUCAGUUUUGUCAAUAAUAAUAGUUUAUUUUAUAAUUUCAAUUCUUACAAGAUUUGCAAUAAGUCAACAGAAUAAGCAUUCUAUUCUGAACUGUUGACAGGAAACAGUGUAAAUUCAUGAUCUCAUCCAAUAUGACACAAGAAUUCGAGACCCCCACCUCGGGCAUACCAGGGGCAUUCACUUAAUUUGGUGUGUGAAAUUCAGUGAAGUCCCCUGCAGCCAGGACAAAAUGGCAAGGUAAAUUUCUUCGGUCCUAUCAUCCUCAGGUAUUCAAUUAGAAUUUUUACAUGAAAUUUCCCAAACCAUUCCUUUACUGUUCUGUAAAAGCCUUUCCUAGCCGACUGCUUUAUUUCAGCAUUUAUAUAAAAGACUACGCCUUUCCUAGCCAAAUGCUUUAUUUCAGCAUUUAUAUAGCCAACUGCUUUAUUUCAACAUUUAUAUAAAAGACUAAGUGACCCCCCCCCCAUGACCUCACUCAUUCCCAACUUGGACACUGAAAGUAAGUGUCUUCCCUGUUUGCCAAGAAAUGAUAAACCAGUGAAUUAAGAGGCGAUUGUCCUUGCAUUCCCCUCUGGUAUGCCAAAGGUGCAAGGAUUCAAAUGACUGGUGAAAUUGAAUAUGCUUAUAAGCUUAUUCACUGUAUUUAAUUAAAAGCUAUUAAAAUUACUCACUAAUACUACAACUGAGGAAAAUUCAGAAAUAGUAAAAUACAUCCAUAAUAUUCCAUAUGCUAUAUUUAUAAAUUCCAAUUGGCCAUUUUAACAUAGGGCCAUUUUAAUAUAGGCGGGUAUUAAAUAGGCCAAGUGACCAAUACCAAAAGCAUAAUAAUUAAUAAAACACAAUACAUUACACCAUUAAAACUUUACUAUCGUAACUAUAUAUUUUUAAACAUUUUAUAUUUACAGUGUGCUUAAAAUUUUACAAUUAUACUUGAGCACAAUGUUUUAAUAAUAGACAACUUUAUAACAAGAAAAUGUUAAAAUGAAGAAACUUUUUAAUGGCUUCAUAAUUGACGUUUCUUCGAUAUUGUUGCUUACUUCUACUUUAUAAUUGUCCAUUCUGUUAUUUUCUUUCUUUCUGUUUGCAAAUUAUCUCCAUUAAUCCAUAGAAAACAAGCAGUUUACGUUUGUAUUUCUUCGUAUUUCGAACGCGCACUCCUUGAAGGCAGCCAUAUUGCAAAUUGCAAAUAUAAACAUCCACUUGACGAAUAAACUUUUCAUAUUUCACUCUAUUUCCAACGACCAAUCAAAUCACAUCUGCUUCGGCUUGUCCCAGGGCUUACGGCAACGCAGGCAGCCGAGAAGCCCUGGGAACGAGGAUGGUGGGCGGCGCAUGUGACUGAC
Non-coding RNA from Paramuricea clavata, 2935 nucleotides. NCBI's taxonomy places the organism in Eukaryota, Metazoa, Cnidaria, Anthozoa, Malacalcyonacea, Plexauridae. The record is from the annotation of a GenBank genome assembly.